This 496-nucleotide ribosomal RNA is filed under the name uncultured bacterium. RNAcentral describes it as "partial 16S ribosomal RNA". It matches the Rfam family "Bacterial small subunit ribosomal RNA", at positions 28 to 506 of the family's 1533-position model. The record is from RNAcentral.
GAUGAACGCUGGCGGCGUGCCUAAUACAUGCAAGUCGAGCGAACAGACGAGGAGCUUGCUCCUCUGACGUUAGCGGCGGACGGGUGAGUAACACGUGGAUAACCUACCUAUAAGACUGGGAUAACUUCGGGAAACCGGAGCUAAUACCGGAUAAUAUAUUGAACCGCAUGGUUCAAUAGUGAAAGACGGUUUUGCUGUCACUUAUAGAUGGAUCCGCGCCGCAUUAGCUAGUUGGUAAGGUAACGGCUUACCAAGGCGACGAUGCGUAGCCGACCUGAGAGGGUGAUCGGCCACACUGGAACUGAGACACGGUCCAGACUCCUACGGGAGGCAGCAGUAGGGAAUCUUCCGCAAUGGGCGAAAGCCUGACGGAGCAACGCGGCGUGAGUGAUGAAGGUCUUCGGAUCGUAAAACUCUGUUAUAAGGAAAGAACAAAUGUGUAAGUAACUAGGAACGUCUUGACGGUACCUAAUCAGAAAGCAACGGCUAACUACGU